GAAGGAAGAGAAGAAAAAGAAGAAAAUUAAGGAAGUCUCUAAUGAGUGGUCAUUGGUUAAUAAGCAGAAGCCCAUAUGGAUGAGGAAGCCCGAGGAGAUCACAAAAGAGGAGUAUGCUGCAUUCUACAAGAGCCUGACAAAUGAUUGGGAAGAGCAUUUGGCUGUCAAGCACUUCUCUGUUGAAGGUCAGCUUGAGUUUAAGGCUGUUCUUUUUAUUCCAAAGAGAGCUCCUUUUGACCUCUUUGACACCAAGAAGAAGCCCAACAAUAUCAAGCUCUAUGUUCGCCGUGUGUUCAUCAUGGAUAACUGUGAGGAAUUGAUUCCUGAAUAUUUGAGCUUUGUGAAGGGUAUUGUGGAUUCUGAAGAUCUUCCCCUCAACAUCUCUAGAGAGAUGUUGCAGCAGAAUAAGAUCCUGAAGGUUAUUCGCAAAAACUUGGUGAAGAAGUG
RNAcentral lists this unclassified non-coding RNA (447 nucleotides) under Hevea brasiliensis (rubber tree). Lineage: Eukaryota; Viridiplantae; Streptophyta; Magnoliopsida; Malpighiales; Euphorbiaceae. The record is from RNAcentral.